UAGGGAAUAUUGGACAAUGGGGGCAACCCUGAUCCAGCCAUGCCGCGUGAGUGAAGAAGGCCCUCGGGUUGUAAAGCUCUUUUGUCCGGAAAGAAAAGCUUCGGGUUAAUACCCCGGGGUUCUGACGGUACCGGAAGAAUAAGCACCGGCUAACUUCGUGCCAGCAGCCGCGGUAAUACGAAGGGUGCAAGCGUUACUCGGAAUUACUGGGCGUAAAGCGUGCGUAGGUGGUUGUUUAAGUCUGAUGUGAAAGCCCUGGGCUCAACCUGGGAAUGGCAUUGGAAACUGGGCAGCUAGAGUGCGGUAGAGGGUAGUGAAAUUCCCGGUGUAGCAGUGAAAUGCGUAGAGAUCGGGAGGAACAUCUGUGGCGAAGGCGACUGCCUGGACCAGCACUGACACUGAGGCACGAAAGCGUGGGGAGCAAACA
RNAcentral lists this ribosomal RNA (427 nucleotides) under uncultured bacterium. RNAcentral's name for it is "bacterial SSU rRNA". It matches the Rfam family "Bacterial small subunit ribosomal RNA", at positions 355 to 774 of the family's 1533-position model. The record is from RNAcentral.